CAGCAGCCGCGGUAAUACGGAGGGAGCUAGCGUUGUUCGGAAUUAUUGGGCGUAAAGCGCACGUAGGCGGCUUGGUAAGUUAGAGGUGAAAGCCUGGAGCUCAACUCCAGAAUUGCCUUUAAGACUGCCGAGCUAGUAGGUGAGAGAGGUAAGUGGAAUUCCGAGUGUAGAGGUGAAAUUCGUAGAUAUUCGGAAGAACACCAGUGGCGAAGGCGGCUUACUGGCUCAUUCUAGACGCUGAGGUGCGAAAGCGUUGGGAGCAAACAGGAUUAGAUACCCGCGUAGUCCCUGUCUCUUAUAC
Molecule: ribosomal RNA, 301 nt
Filed under: uncultured bacterium
Lineage: Bacteria
Description: partial 16S ribosomal RNA
Rfam family: Bacterial small subunit ribosomal RNA
Source: RNAcentral